UACGUAGGUGGCAAGCGUUGUCCGGAUUUAUUGGGUUUAAAGGGUGCGUAGGCGGUCUUAUAAGUCAGUGCUGAAAUAUCCCGGCUUAACCGGGAGGGUGGCAUUGAUACUGUAGGACUUGAGUAAAGUUGAGGUUGGCGGAAUUGACGGUGUAGCGGUGAAAUGCUUAGAUAUCGUCAAGAACACCGAUAGUGGAGACAGCUAACUAAGCUUUAACUGACGCUGAGGCACGAAAGUGUGGGGAUCAAACAGG
This 253-nucleotide ribosomal RNA is filed under the name uncultured bacterium. RNAcentral's name for it is "partial 16S ribosomal RNA". It matches the Rfam family "Bacterial small subunit ribosomal RNA", at positions 524 to 776 of the family's 1533-position model. The record is from RNAcentral.